GACGAACCGUGCGAACGUUGUUCGGAAUCACUGGGCUUAAAGGGUGCGUAGGCGGGUCUUUAAGUCAGGGGUGAAAUCCUGGAGCUCAACUCCAGAACUGCCUUUGAUACUGAAGAUCUUGAGUUCGGGAGAGGUGAGUGGAACUGCGAGUGUAGAGGUGAAAUUCGUAGAUAUUCGCAAGAACACCAGUGGCGAAGGCGGCUCACUGGCCCGAUACUGACGCUGAGGCACGAAAGCGUGGGGAGCAAACAGG
RNAcentral lists this ribosomal RNA (253 nucleotides) under uncultured bacterium. RNAcentral describes it as "partial 16S ribosomal RNA". It matches the Rfam family "Bacterial small subunit ribosomal RNA", at positions 524 to 776 of the family's 1533-position model. The record is from RNAcentral.